This 253-nucleotide ribosomal RNA is filed under the name uncultured bacterium. Its description in RNAcentral is "partial 16S ribosomal RNA". It matches the Rfam family "Bacterial small subunit ribosomal RNA", at positions 524 to 776 of the family's 1533-position model. The record is from RNAcentral.
UACGAGGGGGGCAAGCGUUGUUCGGAAUUAUUGGGCGUAAAGGGUGCGUAGGCGGUUUGAUAAGUCACAUGUGAAAUCUUCGGGCUCAACCCGAAGUCUGCAUGCGAAACUGUCGGGCUUGAGUAUGGGAGAGGUGAGUGGAAUUUCCGGUGUAGCGGUGAAAUGCGUAGAGAUCGGAAAGAACACCAACGGCGAAAGCACUCUGCUGGGCCGACACUGACACUGAGAGACGAAAGCUAGGGGAGCGAAUGGG